AACGAACGCUGGCGGCAUGCCUAACACAUGCAAGUCGAACGAUGCCUUCGGGCAUAGUGGCGCACGGGUGCGUAACGCGUGGGAAUCUGCCUUUCGGUUCGGAAUAACUCAGGGAAACUUGAGCUAAUACCGGAUAACGUCGCAAGACCAAGGAUUUAUCACCGAAAGAUGAGCCCGCGUAGGAUUAGCUAGUUGGUGAGGUAAAGGCUCACCAAGGCGACGAUCCUUAGCUGGUCUGAGAGGAUGAUCAGCCACACUGGGACUGAGACACGGCCCAGACUCCUACGGGAGGCAGCAGUGGGGAAUAUUGGACAAUGGGCGAAAGCCUGAUCCAGCAAUGCCGCGUGAGUGAUGAAGGCCUUAGGGUUGUAAAGCUCUUUUACCCGGGAAGAUAAUGACGGUACCGGGAGAAUAAGCCCCGGCUAACUCCGUG
Molecule: ribosomal RNA, 433 nt
Filed under: uncultured bacterium
Lineage: Bacteria
Description: partial 16S ribosomal RNA
Rfam family: Bacterial small subunit ribosomal RNA
Source: RNAcentral